Non-coding RNA from Elgaria multicarinata webbii, 435 nucleotides. The record is from the annotation of a RefSeq genome assembly. NCBI's taxonomy places the organism in Eukaryota, Metazoa, Chordata, Lepidosauria, Squamata, Anguidae.
CCUGGUCAGUUACUAACAAACAUGAUGUACUAUUUCACCUUGAUGCUGAUUUUCAUCGCCCCUUCAUGUGUCCUUUCCCAAGUCACACUGGUGGAGUCUGGCCCAGGGACAGCAAGGCCAGGAGAGUCCAUCAAGCUGACCUGCACCGUCACUGGAUACUCCAUCUCUAGCGGCUACUAUUGGAGCUGGAUCCGGCAACCUCCUGGCAAAGGCCUAGAAUGGCUGGCAGCUAUACAUUAUUCUGGAAGCCCCAUUUAUUACGCCGCCUCACUCAAAAGCAGAAUUUUGAUCUCCAAAGACAACAGCAAGAAUGAGUUCUACCUGCAGGUGUCCUCCCUCACUGCUGCAGACUCUGCCCGAUACUACUGUGCGAGAGGCACAGCGAAAGAACUAAAGGGAGAGGCCAUACAAAAAGGGGAGAGACUUUUCUGGUAG